RNAcentral lists this transfer RNA (76 nucleotides) under Clostridium celatum. RNAcentral's name for it is "tRNA-Met". It matches the Rfam family "tRNA". From Rfam's summary of the family: Transfer RNA (tRNA) molecules are approximately 80 nucleotides in length. Their secondary structure includes four short double-helical elements and three loops (D, anti-codon, and T loops). The record is from RNAcentral. Lineage: Bacteria; Bacillati; Bacillota; Clostridia; Eubacteriales; Clostridiaceae.
CGCGGGGUGGAGCAGUUGGCAGCUCGUUGGGCUCAUAACCCAAAGGUCACAGGUUCGAGUCCUGUCCCCGCUACCA